This 500-nucleotide ribosomal RNA is filed under the name uncultured bacterium. RNAcentral's name for it is "partial 16S ribosomal RNA". It matches the Rfam family "Bacterial small subunit ribosomal RNA", at positions 29 to 523 of the family's 1533-position model. The record is from RNAcentral.
AUUGAACGCUGGCGGCACGCCUUACACAUGCAAGUCGAACGGCAGCACGGGAGCAAUCCUGGUGGCGAGUGGCGAACGGGUGAGUAAAGUAUCGGAACGUGCCCAGUCGUGGGGGAUAACGCAGCGAAAGCUGUGCUAAUACCGCAUACGAUCUGUGGAUGAAAGCGGGGGAUCGCAAGACCUCGCGCGAUUGGAGCGGCCGAUAUCAGAUUAGGUAGUUGGUGGGGUAAAGGCCCACCAAGCCGACGAUCUGUAGCUGGUCUGAGAGGACGACCAGCCACACUGGGACUGAGACACGGCCCAGACUCCUACGGGAGGCAGCAGUGGGGAAUUUUGGACAAUGGGCGCAAGCCUGAUCCAGCAAUGCCGCGUGCAGGAUGAAGGCCUUCGGGUUGUAAACUGCUUUUGUACGGAACGAAAAGGUCACCACUAAUACUGGGGGCCCAUGACGGUACCGUAAGAAUAAGCACCGGCUAACUACGUGCCAGCAGCCGCCGUAA